AUUUAUGGUCAUCCCAUCCUGAACACAAUCUUGUCUGAUCUUGGAAGCUAAGCAGGAUAAGGCUUGGUUAGUACUUGCACAGGAGAAACUUUUGUUACUAAUC
This 103-nucleotide ribosomal RNA is filed under the name Carlito syrichta (Philippine tarsier). The record is from RNAcentral. Lineage: Eukaryota; Metazoa; Chordata; Mammalia; Primates; Tarsiidae.